This 480-nucleotide ribosomal RNA is filed under the name Botrytis cinerea. RNAcentral's name for it is "eukaryotic LSU rRNA". The stretch from base 155 to 308 matches the Rfam family "5.8S ribosomal RNA". The record is from RNAcentral. Lineage: Eukaryota; Fungi; Ascomycota; Leotiomycetes; Helotiales; Sclerotiniaceae.
UCAUUACAGAGUUCAUGCCCGAAAGGGUAGACCUCCCACCCCUUGUGUAUUAUUACUUUGUUGCUUUGGCGAGCUGCCUUCGGGCCUUGUAUGCUCGCCAGAGAAUACCAAAACUCUUUUUAUUAAUGUCGUCUGAGUACUAUAUAAUAGUUAAAACUUUCAACAACGGAUCUCUUGGUUCUGGCAUCGAUGAAGAACGCAGCGAAAUGCGAUAAGUAAUGUGAAUUGCAGAAUUCAGUGAAUCAUCGAAUCUUUGAACGCACAUUGCGCCCCUUGGUAUUCCGGGGGGCAUGCCUGUUCGAGCGUCAUUUCAACCCUCAAGCUUAGCUUGGUAUUGAGUCUAUGUCAGUAAUGGCAGGCUCUAAAAUCAGUGGCGGCGCCGCUGGGUCCUGAACGUAGUAAUAUCUCUCGUUACAGGUUCUCGGUGUGCUUCUGCCAAAACCCAAAUUUUUCUAUGGGUGACCUCGGAUCAGGUAGGGA